UUGUUUUAUUAAAAAUAUUUUGUUUAUGUAUGAUGAAAAUUUUGACAAUUAACUCUUUUUAUAAAAUAAAAUGAGUCAAUUGUCACGAUAUUAAUAGACAACAACUCACUAGGUUACCUCCCUACACUUAUCAAGACGUAAUGUAAAAUUUAUUAACAGAAUACCAUGAGAUUCCAAAAAUUACGUCAGUGACGAAGGGAGCGCUGUUACUGCGUAGUGGACUCACGGAAUAACUAUUAUUUUAUAAAAAGAGUUUCUCUCAAAGUGAUUCUCUCAGCAAAUGGGCUACGGAUUCAAAGUAAACAGGAUGGAUAGGUGUUUUAAAUUUUCAAAAUGUUACUAAAGGUAACCAAGCCAUCAGUGGUAGUUGUCAAGAAUGAGGAA
Pieris napi is the source of this 384-nucleotide long non-coding RNA. RefSeq lists it as uncharacterized. The transcript has 2 exons. The record is from RefSeq and is a predicted model, not a curated record. NCBI's taxonomy places the organism in Eukaryota, Metazoa, Arthropoda, Insecta, Lepidoptera, Pieridae.